GAUGAACGCUGGCGGCGUGCCUAAUACAUGCAAGUCGAGCGAACGGACGAGAAGCUUGCUUCUCUGAUGUUAGCGGCGGACGGGUGAGUAACACGUGGAUAACCUACCUAUAAGACUGGGAUAACUUCGGGAAACCGGAGCUAAUACCGGAUAAUAUUUUGAACCGCAUGGUUCAAAAGUAAAAGACGGUCUUUCUGUCACUUAUAGAUGGAUCCGCGCUGCAUUAGCUAGUUGGUAAGGUAACGGCUUACCAAGGCAACGAUGCAUAGCCGACCUGAGAGGGUGAUCGGCCACACUGGAACUGGGACACGGUCCAGACUCCUACGGGAGGCAGCAGUAGGGAAUCUUCCGCAAUGGGCGAAAGCCUGACGGAGCAACGCCGCGUGAGUGAUGAAGGUCUUCGGAUCGUAAAACUCUGUUAUUAGGGAAGAACAUAUGUGUAAGUAACUGUGCACAUCUUGACGGUACCUAAUCAGAAAGCCACGGCUAACUACGUG
This 497-nucleotide ribosomal RNA is filed under the name uncultured bacterium. RNAcentral's name for it is "partial 16S ribosomal RNA". It matches the Rfam family "Bacterial small subunit ribosomal RNA", at positions 28 to 507 of the family's 1533-position model. The record is from RNAcentral.